AAAGCCAGCUCUGGAAUACACUCAUUUGAGAGUCUUGUAAAGCUGUUGUCCGUGUGUUAUUGCUUACAAAUGAUCCUCCAUCAACGUUGAUUAUGGUGACCGAGGGAUCGAGAACCGAGGGGAUUAGAGUCCAUUACAACAUUAACCCUUUCAGCUUGGUGUCUAGAAGUGGGAUAGAAGUUGGAUCAGCAAAACCAUUUGCGGUGAGUAGCCUUUUUGUGUCUUAUUUGACGCUGAUUGUCUAUGACCCCCCUUUGGUUCAGUAAGACUGUAUCCAGUAGAUAGGAAAGGUGUAAGGACUCUAGUUAUAUUGAGACUAUAAGAGGUCUCCGGUUUAUUAGACAUUUGGUCUAAAUAUAUAUAGGGUUUUGGUAACCCAGGUUAGUAUCUAAGAUAGAUACAGGUUUUUGAGACCAUAAGAGGUCUCCGGUUUAUUAUAGGGUUUUGGUAACCCAGGUUAGUAUCUAAGAUAGAUACAGGGUAUCUCAGGUAGAUACAGGUUUUGAGACCAUAAGAGGUCUCCGGUUUAUUAAGUCUAUAGGUGUUCUGAGCAGCAUGGUUUGUAGAUCUUUAAGUAUAACCCAAACUUCUCUUUCUCCCGGUCACCUUUGUUUGUCUUAAGUGUUUUUUGUGGGUGAUUGAUUGUCUAUAUUGGGGACACACUUUGGUAAGUUAGUAGUGUCCCCACUCUGAAUCAGCAGUAUGGGAAAUGUGAGUUCAGGUCCUGAGUGACCAAUAUGUGUAUGUAUAUAUGUGUAUAUGUAUGUAUAUAUGUGUGUGUAUAUGUAUAUGUGUAUAUAUAAGAUAGCAGUACUUUUAAACAAAUGGAGGUUUUAAAAAUACAUAGGGAUUAAGGAGAGAACGCAGGUAACUUGUUUUUCUUUGGUUUUUACCAUAUAUUGGGGCUGAUGUGUACUGUAGUCCUUGCUGCUGUCCAGUAGUGAUGGGAGUGAGCGUAGGACUUAUCUUUCUGCAAGAUAGCAGUACUGUAUAUUAGAAAAGAAAUGACUCAUAGGUUGUACCUGAUAGACCUACUUAAAUCUUUUUGCUUUAUUCUUUCUGUCGCAUAGAAGUAUAAGUUUAUUACUCUGUUUUAUUGUAAGUUAUUUCACAUGGGAACUGUGUGCCUGGAAUGAUUGUUGCUUUAAAAAUACUAUAAGCCCACUACACUUAUUAUGAGAGUGGGAUAGUGUAAAUGUGUUGCAUUGUUUGCAUGAUGAGCUCAGUAUAUUUUAUAACUGAGACAAAAAGUCACAUCAUUAGUAUUUUAAAGUUAAUUCCCCAUAUGGGAUUAAUUGUAUAGAAACACCAAUCAGCACAUCUUCCCUGCCCUGUGUGUUUGUUGCAAAGGAUCCAUAAUGUAAAUAUAAUUUUUGUUUGAAAAUAACAGAGCAACAUUUACAUUUUCAGCGGUCCAACACAUGCUUUAUUUUGCACUGUAAACUAACCUUUUUAUUGCAACAGGUUCCUUUUAAAUGAUCCAGUGUAAUAACUAGUGCUUGUGUCUUCUAUGUCUCACAUUAUGUGUUAUUUUUAAAUUGUGGUAUAUAGCCUGAAUCAGACAUCAUGGACAAAGGGUUUUUACCUGUAUUACAAAGGGCUCUUGGAGACUGACCGG
This 1618-nucleotide long non-coding RNA is filed under the name Pelobates cultripes (western spadefoot toad). Lineage: Eukaryota; Metazoa; Chordata; Amphibia; Anura; Pelobatidae. The record is from RNAcentral.